This is a long non-coding RNA of Humulus lupulus (European hop), 587 nucleotides long. RefSeq lists it as uncharacterized. The record is from RefSeq and is a predicted model, not a curated record. The transcript has 2 exons. NCBI's taxonomy places the organism in Eukaryota, Viridiplantae, Streptophyta, Magnoliopsida, Rosales, Cannabaceae.
UUCUUUUUCUUUUCAUUUAACUACUCCAUUCCAUUUCAUUCUCUAUAUAAAAGCCUCCUCAAGGCUUAGCUCGAUGCCUCUCCUCAUAUUCUAUACAGACCUACAUUUCCAUUUCAUAACCCUUUUUCUUUUCUUUUUUUGAAACUUAACGAGAAAAAAUGGUGCAGCCCAAGUAUCUUAAGCUUUAUGUUAUUAUAGUGAUGAUGAUGUUGAAUAUUUUUUUCACUACUCUAUGCCCAAGUGGUGCAGAAGGUAGGACAUUGAAAAUCAGGCAUAAACAAGGUUAUUAUAACUUGAAGAGUUUUGAUGAAACACUUGGAGUUGUGUGCAAGUGCUGCGAUGGUGAGAAAGGUUCAUGCACAACUAACUGGGAUGCGCCUUGCUCCAAACUACAAUGCCUUCCUUGGAAGUUUCAUUAUUAAUUCUUAUAGUAAUAAUAAUAAUUAAGUUAUUUAUUAGAAUAAGGUGAUGACCCCACUGUUUAAUACAAUUGUAAUUUGUGUUACUUUACAUAUAUAAGUUCAAUUAAUUAUGUGUUUCUAAAUUCCGUUUAUUAACUAACCUUGAUCGUUCAUCCAUUUAAUCUA